This 73-nucleotide transfer RNA is filed under the name Salinibacillus aidingensis. RNAcentral describes it as "tRNA-Ala". It matches the Rfam family "tRNA". From Rfam's summary of the family: Transfer RNA (tRNA) molecules are approximately 80 nucleotides in length. RNAcentral also lists the same sequence under 4 other names. Lineage: Bacteria; Bacillati; Bacillota; Bacilli; Caryophanales; Bacillaceae. The record is from RNAcentral.
GGGGCAUUAGCUCAGUUGGGAGAGCGCUACACUGGCAGUGUAGAGGUCAGCGGUUCGAGCCCGCUAUGCUCCA